RNA transcript from Triticum dicoccoides, 993 nucleotides. RefSeq lists it as uncharacterized. The transcript is spliced from 6 exons. The record is from RefSeq and is a predicted model, not a curated record. NCBI's taxonomy places the organism in Eukaryota, Viridiplantae, Streptophyta, Magnoliopsida, Poales, Poaceae.
UCUCUCCCUCCCUCCCCCGCCUCCACCAGCGAGCCCCUCUGCUCUCCCUCGCUUCUAUCUGGUGGAACCGCCGCCCCCAACCUCUCUCUCCGACUUAAAUCCGCCGCCGCCUCCAACCGCUCCCACCCCACUCCUCUUCCCUCCUCCUCGGGCAGCCCAGUCGUCGUCGCGACCGAGGACCAGAGACGCGGGCGGGGACCUCGAGGCGGAGGAGGAGCAGCAGCGGCGGCGACGGCGAGUCAGGGCAAGGCCAGCAGCGAUGGGGUUCAUCUCCUUCGUCGGGAGGGUGCUCUUCGCCUCCAUCUUCCUCCUCUCCGCCUACCAAGAAGGAGGAAGCAAACUUGCCCGGCAAGAAGGGAUCCCUCAAGCUGGAUGAAUGGGUGCUCUGCCGGCUUUAGAACAAGAAGAACAACUAGGAGAAGGUCAAGGUGGAGCAAGACAUGGCUGUGGAGGCAUGGCCUGGACGCUCGUCAACCUCGGCCACUUCGUGACUACAUACCACUUCUUCCACUGGAAGAAGGGAACUCCAUUCGCUGAUGAUCAGGGGAUGUAUAAUAGAUGACUUGGUGGGAGCAAAUGGACAACCGCAGGCAGCUUACUCACAACAGAAAAUUUCUUGUUGUGGUUCAUGUAGUCCUCGGCCGUGCUCCACCAGCUCUUUUGUGGUUCUUGCAAUCUGGGGAGUUCCUCACAUGACAGGGCCCUCCCUCUUCUGCUUCUUCUACUACCUACUAUUGCUGCUGUUACUGAUUGGUCUAUGCACGGUGAAGUGCGAAUCAAAGUCCGAAGCUAUGAAGCAUAUCAACAAGUAGUAGCAUAUUAUGUGUUGUAAUUGUAGGAAGUAGUAGGCAUAUCUGGCUUGUAGUAUACUGUAAUGAUUGUAAUAGACUAAUGUAGUGUUGUUUUGGAUGAAUUUUGAUUGCUCUCUGGUCUGAUAAUUAUUGUGUAUGUGGUUUGAAUACCUGUGAAAUGGAAACAUGACAAUGGAGUCCA